Molecule: ribosomal RNA, 2921 nt
Filed under: Bacillus altitudinis
Lineage: Bacteria; Bacillati; Bacillota; Bacilli; Caryophanales; Bacillaceae
Description: 23S ribosomal RNA
Rfam family: Bacterial large subunit ribosomal RNA
Source: RNAcentral
GGUUAAGUUAGAAAGGGCGCACGGUGGAUGCCUUGGCACUAGGAGCCGAUGAAGGACGGGACGAACACCGAUAUGCUUCGGGGAGCUGUAAGCAAGCUUUGAUCCGGAGAUUUCCGAAUGGGGAAACCCACUGCUCGUAAUGGAGUAGUAUCCAUACUUGAAUACAUAGAGUAUGAGAAGGCAUACCCGGGGAACUGAAACAUCUAAGUACCCGGAGGAAGAGAAAGCAAAUGCGAUUCCCUGAGUAGCGGCGAGCGAAACGGGAACAGCCCAAACCAAGAGGCUUGCCUCUUGGGGUUGUAGGACACUCUAUACGGAGUUACAAAGGAACGAUAUAAGCGAAGAGGUCUGGAAAGGCCCGCCAAAGAAGGUAACAGCCCUGUAACUGAAAUGUUGUUCUCUCCAGAGUGGAUCCUGAGUACGGCGGAACACGUGAAAUUCCGUCGGAAUCCGGGAGGACCAUCUCCCAAGGCUAAACAUUCCCUAGUGACCGAUAGUGAACCAGUACCGUGAGGGAAAGGUGAAAAGCACCCCGGAAGGGAGUGAAAUAGAUCCUGAAACCGUGUGCCUACAAGUAGUCAGAGCCCGUUAACGGGUGAUGGCGUGCCUUUUGUAGAAUGAACCGGCGAGUUACGAUCCCGUGCAAGGUUAAGCAGAAGAUGCGGAGCCGCAGCGAAAGCGAGUCUGAAUAGGGCGCAUGAGUACGUGGUCGUAGACCCGAAACCAGGUGAUCUACCCAUGUCCAGGGUGAAGUUCAGGUAACACUGAAUGGAGGCCCGAACCCACGCACGUUGAAAAGUGCGGGGAUGAGGUGUGGGUAGGGUGAAAUGCCAAUCGAACCUGGAGAUAGCUGGUUCUCUCCGAAAUAGCUUUAGGGCUAGCCUCAAGGUAAGAGUCUCGGAGGUAGAGCACUGAUUGGACUAGGGGCCCCUACCGGGUUACCGAAUUCAGUCAAACUCCGAAUGCCGAUGACUUAUCCUUGGGAGUCAGACUGCGAGUGAUAAGAUCCGUAGUCGAAAGGGAAACAGCCCAGACCGCCAGCUAAGGUCCCAAAGUAUACGUUAAGUGGAAAAGGAUGUGGAGUUGCUUAGACAACCAGGAUGUUGGCUUAGAAGCAGCCACCAUUUAAAGAGUGCGUAAUAGCUCACUGGUCGAGUGACUCUGCGCCGAAAAUGUACCGGGGCUAAACGUAUCACCGAAGCUGCGGACUGUUCUACGAACAGUGGUAGGAGAGCGUUCUAAGUGCAGUGAAGUCAGACCGGAAGGACUGGUGGAGCGCUUAGAAGUGAGAAUGCCGGUAUGAGUAGCGAAAGACGGGUGAGAAUCCCGUCCACCGAAUGCCUAAGGUUUCCUGAGGAAGGCUCGUCCGCUCAGGGUUAGUCGGGACCUAAGCCGAGGCCGAAAGGCGUAGGCGAUGGACAACAGGUUGAUAUUCCUGUACCACCUCCUCACCAUUUGAGCAAUGGGGGGACGCAGGAGGAUAGGGUAAGCGCGGUAUUGGAUAUCCGCGUCCAAGCAGUUAGGCUGGGAAAUAGGCAAAUCCGUUUCCCGUGAAGGCUGAGCUGUGAUGGCGAGCGAAAUUUAGUAGCGAAGUUCCUGAUUCCACACUGCCAAGAAAAGCCUCUAGCGAGGUGAGAGGUGCCCGUACCGCAAACCGACACAGGUAGGCGAGGAGAGAAUCCAAGGUGAUCGAGAGAACUCUCGUUACGAACUCGGCAAAAUGACCCCGUAACUUCGGGAGAAGGGGUGCUUCUUAGGGUGUUAAAGCCCCGAGAAGCCGCAGUGAAUAGGCCCAGGCGACUGUUUAGCAAAAACACAGGUCUCUGCGAAGCCGUAAGGCGAAGUAUAGGGGCUGACGCCUGCCCGGUGCUGGAAGGUUAAGAGGAGCGCUUAGCGUAAGCGAAGGUGCGAAUUGAAGCCCCAGUAAACGGCGGCCGUAACUAUAACGGUCCUAAGGUAGCGAAAUUCCUUGUCGGGUAAGUUCCGACCCGCACGAAAGGCGCAACGAUCUGGGCACUGUCUCUUAGCGUAAGCGAAGGUGCGAAUUGAAGCCCCAGUAAACGGGGGCUGUCUUUGUUGGAAAGACCCCGUGGAGCUUUACUGCAGCCUGAUAUUGAAUGUUGGUACAGCUUGUACAGGAUAGGUAGGAGCCUUGGAAACCGGAGCGCUAGCUUCGGUGGAGGCAUCGGUGGGAUACUACCCUGGCUGUAUUGACCUUCUAACCCGCUGCCCUUAUCGGGCCAGUAGACAGUGUCAGGUGGGCAGUUUGACUGGGGCGGUCGCCUCCUAAAAUGUAACGGAGGCGCCCAAAGGUUCCCUCAGAAUGGUUGGAAAUCAUUCGCAGAGUGUAAAGGCACAAGGGAGCUUGACUGCGAGACCUACAAGUCGAGCAGGGACGAAAGUCGGGCUUAGUGAUCCGGUGGUUCCGCAUGGAAGGGCCAUCGCUCAACGGAUAAAAGCUACCCCGGGGAUAACAGGCUUAUCUCCCCCAAGAGUCCACAUCGAGGGGAGGUUUGGCACCUCGAUGUCGGCUCAUCGCAUCCUGGGGCUGUAGUCGGUCCCAAGGGUUGGGCUGUUCGCCCAUUAAAGCGGUACGCGAGCUGGGUUCAGAACGUCGUGAGACAGUUCGGUCCCUAUCCGUCGCGGGCGCAGGAAAUUUGAGAGGAGCUGUCCUUAGUACGAGAGGACCGGGAUGGACGCACCGCUGGUGUACCAGUUGUUCUGCCAAGGGCAUCGCUGGGUAGCUAUGUGCGGACGGGAUAAGUGCUGAAAGCAUCUAAGCAUGAAGCCCCCCUCAAGAUGAGAUUUCCCAUUCCGCAAGGAAGUAAGAUCCCUGAAAGAUGAUCAGGUUGAUAGGUCUGAGGUGGAAGCGUGGUGACACGUGGAGCUGACAGAUACUAAUAGAUCGAGGACUUAACCUA